RNAcentral lists this transfer RNA (100 nucleotides) under Leptolyngbya sp. SIOISBB. RNAcentral describes it as "tRNA-Arg". The record is from RNAcentral. Lineage: Bacteria; Bacillati; Cyanobacteriota; Cyanophyceae; Leptolyngbyales; Leptolyngbyaceae.
GAGGAUGUAGCUCAGAUGGACAGAGCACCUGUUUCCGAGACAGGAAGCCACAGGUACUCUGCGAGAAGCCGCUUGGCGUCUACAAUCCCUGUCAUCCUCG